RNAcentral lists this long non-coding RNA (816 nucleotides) under Homo sapiens (human). RNAcentral's name for it is "CBLL1 antisense RNA 1, transcript variant 1 (CBLL1-AS1)". Lineage: Eukaryota; Metazoa; Chordata; Mammalia; Primates; Hominidae. The record is from RNAcentral.
CACGCGCGCUCCGGAAGGCGCCCUCCAGUGGGAGGUUGCUCAGGGGAUGGCGGAGCUGUGAAACUCGGAGCUAGAAGGAAAGUCUCAACGCUUGUCUAAAUUUUGCUUUGUCGUGACGAGCUACCUAGACCCACGCAGAGCUAACUUGGGAGAGCGCUUGUGACGCUACGAACCUCUCGAACACCUGACGACUGGGCGCCAGGGCCGGAUGGAGGGUGGAGAGCCAGUGCGGCGCAGCUGCCUCCUCUUAACGGGGACACCUUGCAGGAAUGUGCGGAGUGGAGCUAACGGGAGCGGAUAGAAACCGAGGGAGGGGAAGAGAGCGCGAAGGCUUGGCCGGAAGGAGAGGUUAAAAAGGAAAGGCCUAAAAUGAGGAAGAGAGUUACCACAACAAGCAGUACCUAGUUCCAGUUCUUGGUCCCAGGAGUUUGUGGUUGUUGCUGCUUUCAUCUUCCUCAGCCAACACAAAAGGAAAGUGCCAAGGGGCGAUUCCUAGGACCUUCAGUGCAGUCUCCACCUUGCGGACUUGGCUCAUUUGUGUCCACUCCUUUCUCCAGCCUUUUACACUUGAUGCUCUUGGAUGAAUAGAAAGGAGCACAAUUAAUGGAAAACACAAGCUUGGGAGUCAAGGGAUUUGGGUUCUAUUCUUGUCCUCCCUUGGUGACGACAUCAUUACCUUGGGUUAUUCAAGCUUUCAGUGCCAGAGUUCCUAUAUCAAUAAAAGAUUAUUACAUUGACCUCUUAGAGAAAUGUUUUCAUGGUACUGAAUUGCAAAUAAAGUAUGUGUAGCGAUGUGUUAAAAAAAAAAAAAAAAAA